UGACCAUGCAGUCCGAACGGCAGCACGGAGCUUGCUCCUGGUGGCGAGUGGCGAACGGGUGAGUAAUAUAUCGGAACGUACCCUAGAGUGGGGGAUAACGUAGCGAAAGUUACGCUAAUACCGCAUACGAUCUAAGGAUGAAAGUGGGGGAUCGCAAGACCUCAUGCUCGUGGAGCGGCCGAUAUCUGAUUAGCUAGUUGGUAGGGUAAAAGCCUACCAAGGCAUCGAUCAGUAGCUGGUCUGAGAGGACGACCAGCCACACUGGAACUGAGACACGGUCCAGACUCCUACGGGAGGCAGCAGUGGGGAAUUUUGGACAAUGGGCGAAAGCCUGAUCCAGCAAUGCCGCGUGAGUGAAGAAGGCCUUCGGGUUGUAAAGCUCUUUUGUCAGGGAAGAAACGGUGAAGGCUAAUAUCCUUUGCUAAUGACGGUACCUGAAGAAUAAGCACCGGCUAACUACGUGCCAGCAGCCGCGGUAAUACGUAGGGUGCAAGCGUUAAUCGGAAUUACUGGGCGUAAAGCGUGCGCAGGCGGUUUUGUAAGUCUGAUGUGAAAUCCCCGGGCUCAACCUGGGAAUUGCAUUGGAGACUGCAAGGCUAGAAUCUGGCAGAGGGGGGUAGAAUUCCACGUGUAGCAGUGAAAUGCGUAGAUAUGUGGAGGAACACCGAUGGCGAAGGCAGCCCCCUGGGUCAAGAUUGACGCUCAUGCACGAAAGCGUGGGGAGCAAACAGGAUUAGAUACCCCUGGUAGUCCACGCCCUAAACGAUGUCUACUAAUUUGUCGGGUCUUAAUUGACUUGGUAACGCAGCUAACGCGUGAAGUAGACCGCCUGGGGGAGUACGGUCGCAAGAUAACAAAAGAUAUUGGUGGGGGGGGGGGGGGGGGUAAAAAAAGGAGGGGAA
Molecule: ribosomal RNA, 902 nt
Filed under: Janthinobacterium sp.
Lineage: Bacteria; Pseudomonadati; Pseudomonadota; Betaproteobacteria; Burkholderiales; Oxalobacteraceae
Description: partial 16S ribosomal RNA
Rfam family: Bacterial small subunit ribosomal RNA
Source: RNAcentral